Molecule: small nucleolar RNA, 133 nt
Organism: Suncus etruscus (white-toothed pygmy shrew)
Lineage: Eukaryota; Metazoa; Chordata; Mammalia; Eulipotyphla; Soricidae
Product: small nucleolar RNA SNORA51
Exons: 1
Source: RefSeq, a predicted model, not a curated record
GGCCUCCCAAUGCUUACCACAGGCUGUGUUCUUUACACAGACUGUAUAGAAAGAGGAGGUACAGUAAAUGCUUCCCAUAUACUCCUCAAACCAGAUCCUUUGCCUGGUCUGUAUUGUGAAUGGGGACAAAAAA